GCAGAACGCGAAGAACCUUACCCACCUUUGACAUGUACGGAAUUUGCCAGAGAUGGCUUAGUGCUCGAAAGAGAACCGUAACACAGGUGCUGCAUGGCUGUCGUCAGCUCGUGUCGUGAGAUGUUGGGUUAAGUCCCGCAACGAGCGCAACCCUUGUCAUUAGUUGCUACAUUUAGUUGGGCACUCUAAUGAGACUGCCGGUGACAAACCGGAGGAAGGUGGGGAUGACGUCAAGUCCUCAUGGCCCUUAUAGGUGGGGCUACACACGUCAUACAAUGGCUGGUACAAAGGGUUGCCAACCCGCGAGGGGGAGCUAAUCCCAUAAAACCAAUCGUAGUCCGGAUCGCAGUCUGCAACUCGACUGCGUGAAGUCGGAAUCGCUAGUAAUCGUGGAUCAGAAUGUCACGGUGAAUACGUUCCCGGGUCUUGUACACACCG
RNAcentral lists this ribosomal RNA (438 nucleotides) under uncultured bacterium. RNAcentral's name for it is "bacterial SSU rRNA". It matches the Rfam family "Bacterial small subunit ribosomal RNA", at positions 954 to 1392 of the family's 1533-position model. The record is from RNAcentral.